CUUCUUAUCUAACACUAAGCAAGAAAGUGCACCUCCAAAAAUGUUGAACUAUUCCUUUCAAUUUGGAUAAAGCAGUGAAUCACAAACCUUCACCAUGUUGGGUAAACUUCAGGUCUUGAGUAUAGCUUACAUUAGCUAGACAGAAGCAGUCAGUGGAGUACUGACAGUAGGAGAUUACUACAUACCAGUGCAAUGCAGGCUGCAUGUUUGCUUUCUAUAAAUACUCAACACCAGUGGAAUAUAGAUUACUGAUGAAUUACAAAUGGUCAGUCCAGUCAGAGCGACAGUACACUUCAAUCUCUUAUUGCCAAUAAACAAUGCAGCAGAUUUCUGCCGAUUAAAUGAUAUUAAAGACAUCAGAGACUUAAGUCAAACAUUAAACAAAGCAUGGGCAGCUGGGUGUGGUUGUCUGAUGUUCCUGCCCUGUCUUAAUGGAAAGUGGAGCAUCAUGGUUGGGUAUAGGUAGCAUCUGAAUCACCUUUUUAAAUGCAGGUUUAGCUGUAUAUAAUGAACUGAAUGGGUUUAGGUUGUAGUGGAUUCUGCAAGGUGUGGAAACAGGUCUAGCCUUUUUAUUGAGUCCUUUGUUGCUGGUUGUUGUUGUA
This is a long non-coding RNA of Sander lucioperca (pikeperch), 602 nucleotides long. RefSeq lists it as uncharacterized. The record is from RefSeq and is a predicted model, not a curated record. NCBI's taxonomy places the organism in Eukaryota, Metazoa, Chordata, Actinopteri, Perciformes, Percidae. The transcript has 3 exons.